GACGAACGCUGGCGGCGCGCUUAACACAUGCAAGUCGAACGGAAAGGCCUGCUUUCCCUUGUGGAUUGCGGGUACUCGAGUGGCGAACGGGUGAGUAACACGUGAGUGAUCUGCCCCCAACUUGGGUAUAAGCCUGGGAAACUGGGUCUAAUUCCCGAUAGGACUGCAGGGUGGUGCCUGUGGUGGAAAACGAUUUUCUAGUGGUUGGGGAUGAGCUCGCGGCCUAUCAGCUUGUUGGUGGGGUAAUGGCCUACCAAGGCGGCGACGGGUAGCCGGCCUGAGAGGGUGGACAGCCACAUUGGGCCUGAGAUACGGCCCCGACUCCUACGGGAGGCAGCAGUGGGGAAUAUUGACCGAUGGGCGGAAGCCUGAAGCAGCGACGCCGCGUGGGGGAUGACGGCCUUCGGGUUGUAAACUCCUUUCGACCGCGAGGAAGCCACCUGGUUGGAAGGGUGGUGACGGUAGUGGUAGAAGAAGCACCGGCUAACUACGUG
This 494-nucleotide ribosomal RNA is filed under the name uncultured bacterium. Its description in RNAcentral is "partial 16S ribosomal RNA". It matches the Rfam family "Bacterial small subunit ribosomal RNA", at positions 28 to 507 of the family's 1533-position model. The record is from RNAcentral.